Long non-coding RNA from Lepus europaeus (European hare), 20633 nucleotides. RefSeq lists it as uncharacterized. The transcript has 12 exons. The record is from RefSeq and is a predicted model, not a curated record. NCBI's taxonomy places the organism in Eukaryota, Metazoa, Chordata, Mammalia, Lagomorpha, Leporidae.
UGCCUAAAAGUGUUAGAAGAAGAAAAAAAAAUGACAGUGAAUUAUGCUGCAGGUAUACAUAGCAGAUAGGAACUAAUAUAAUGACCAAUUGAUUAAAGCAGCAGGAAAUGGGGAAUUGCAAAAUUGUCCUCAAUCCUUGAAGACUCUGGAGCCAAUCCAGACAAAAUUUACAUGGAAUGCAUAUCUACAUGUUACAGAGUGAAAGAAAAGUCCCUACACAGUGAUAGGCUGAAGGUCACAUCUUCAUGUGAAGGAAUGGUGAAUGUCCUGUCCUCAGCUGAAGGAAGAAAUGAUGCCAAGUACUCACCUGAUAAAUUUGAAUGCCUUCUUCUCUGAGGGAGUAAGAACACCAUGUCUGAAGAAUUAUCAUCACCCAGCACUCAUUUGAUGGAAUAUUGAACACCUUCUCUUCACCAGACAGACGGGUGUAGGCCAUUUCCUAAUGUGAGCAUAAGAAAUAGACUUCAAUGAACAGAACUUUCAAAAUAUUCUGACCAUGUGAAACGAGAAUCAGAAGAACUCUUCUGUGGCCCUGGCCAAGCACUUGCAGGUGAAGGGAACUUUGGAGAAGGAGGUUGGACUCAUCCAGGCGCGUCUGAGAGAAAAGGAAGAGGAGAGCCAAGGUAGAACUGAAGACGUCUCCAAACUCCAGACCGAGGUUCAGAGGACUCAGCAGGCAUUAAAACAGUUGGAAACCAGAGAGGUAGUUGAUUUGUCCAAACACAAGGCAAUUAAAAGUGAUUUGGAGGCAUAGAUUUCUAAAUUAAAUGAAAGAGUGGCCAAUCUGAAUAGAAAAUAUGAGGAAGUCUGUGAGGAGGUUUUGCAUGCCAAAAAGAAAGAGCUGCCCACAAAAGAAGAGAAGGAAUUUCUACAUUUCAACCUGGAGCAGGAGAUCAAGGAUCAGAAGGAAUGAUGCGAUGGGUCCCUAACAACAGUCACGGAGCUGCAGAGAAGAAUUCAAGAAUCUGCUAAACAACUUGAAGCCAAAGAUGAUAAGAUAACUGAACUGCUUAAUGAUGUCGAAAGGCUGAAGCAGGCACUCCAUGGCCUUUCCCAACUCACCCACAUGAGUGGGAGCCCCACCAAGAGGCAGAGCCAGCUCAUUGACAGUCUGCAGCACCAGGUGAAAUCCCUGCAGCGGCAACUGGCUGUACAAGUCACUUGUCCACACAUGGAUGCGUUAGGAAAGCAGUGGGUGAAUGACACCAAAUAACAGUAUCAUUGAACACAAGUGUUUGAUAGUUCUGGAUGGAAUGGCAAGCAGGGCUGCUGGUGAUCCCCACCUAUUGGCAGUGAGUCUGGGGAUCUGCACCACCUCAUCUCAGGGUAAGUUCUGUUUUCAGAAACUCCUUUCUUGAUACAGGACAUUUCUGCCCAGGGCCUUGGCCUUGUGGCCAGCCCAACACAUUCCAGGCUCAGGUCUCUGUUGGGCCAAUGAUAAAUGGCCUAGUAAGCCACUCGGGGGAGUGGACCAGAAUAGAACUGGACAUGGGGCAGGAGUCUGGGUCCUCAGUCGUGUGAUUUCCAACAGUUCAGUGGGGGCAUGGAAGCAGACCUGCAACAUCUAGAAGGGGGCAGCUAGGGGAGGCCACUUGUACUGAACCUCUCUCUGGGACUCACCAAAGAAAACAAGCACAGGAAGGGUUUGUAGCAUGGGGUAAGUUGCCCCUGUCUCUGUGCUGGGGGAAGAUUUGUGGCCUGCUCUGGAGGAGUCAGUCCUGGGGUCUGUCCCCAACAUUGUCCCAGGACAGCUAUUGGAGAGAGACCUGGGGAGGUGGCUCAGAUAUCCAGGUAGGAUGGUGGCUUGGGGUUGUUCAGGACCACGUGUCAGCAGCACAGCUUGAAACAUGGGUGAGGUAGGAGUCGGGACCUUUUCAGGAUGUUGGGCUUGAGGUUCUGAGAAGACCUGGGAUGAAGAAGGGUCAGGGUGCAGGAGACAUAGUCACUGUGGAGAGCGGUGAGGUUGGGGAAGGUGAGUCAAUGGCCAUGGUAUAGGAGAGCAGGUAGAGGAGGUGGACCCUCCAAUGGGUGUGGGUGUCGGGAAAGACUGGAGCCAGGUGUCCCUGGUAGUACCAGGUGAUUCUCAGGCAUUGCCACAAUCUGGGUCUAUGGUAGGGACCCCCACUGGGAGAAAGUAGCUGAGGGGGUCCCAGCCCCAUCCCAUCCCCUGGGUGGAGGACUACUUCUCAGGACCGUUCCCCCUCAGCUCUUUCAGGGCUUGCUGUACUCACCCUGGAAGGAGAGUUCAUGGGAUAGCCACAGCCCCCCAUGCCCAUGGGUCCCUGCCAGGCCCUGUACUUGCAGGAUAGGGGUCCCUCCUGUGUGUCCACUAACUGGAGAACUAUUUUUCUCAAGUGUCUGAGGCUGAGUCUUAGGGCAGGAGAGGAUGGAGCCAACCCAACCCAGCAGGUGGAUGAUGCCUGACCUGGUGCAGGUCCUUCAUCCUGCAUCCACUCCCUUCCAGAAAUAAGAAGCUGCCUGGGUACAGCACUUGUGGGGCAAAGAUUGGAGCCUUCUCUUGGAGGUUCACUGGGAAACUGAAUCUGGAAGCCUGAAUGUUCACGUGCUGCUUAUUGGGAGUCCCACUAAAUCAAUGGUUGACCAACCACACCUAGGGGAUCUAAGCAUCUGUUUUACCAAACUGCUGGUUUGUGAACAGACCUGAAGCUCAGGGGGUGCUGCCUGCUGGCCACCAGGAGCCACCCAUGAUAUUGGGACCCAGCUGAAGUCCCGGAGUGUCUGUCGUAAAUGUGUGGUGGUCAGUAGUCAAGGCAACACCUCUGUGAUGCUACCCACCUCUGUGAUGCUCACCCACUCAGGCACUCUUGGCCUGGGGUGUGGGAGGCUGAAGAUUGUGACCUCAUUUGUUUGGAUCAUGCGGUGUCUUAAUGAGAUGGUAAUGUAUGAGCUUUGUCCUCACCUACCAGAAAGGUGAAUGUCCCAUUCUCACCUGGCAGCAGUUGGAACUCUGUCCUCAAGGAAGGUAAGAUGAAUGUUGUGUCCUAAAAUUAUGAAAGUUGCCACAGCGUGUCUUCCAUUGAGGGAGGUGAACCUCACAGCAUGUCCUGAACCAGGAAGUGUGAAUGCAGCUUCCUUAUUGAUGGGUGAAUGCCAUUUCCCCACAUAACUGUAGUGUUAACAUUCUGCCUUCACAUGAUGGCAGAGUUAAUGUCCUCACUUCAUUGGAUAGAAUGGUGACUGCACUAUUCUCUACUGAUGUAAGGAUAAUCAUUUCAUGUUCCUGUGAGGGAUAGUGAGCACCUUCUCAGCUGAUGGUGAGGUGAAGGCCAUGUCCAAAUGCAGUACUAACAGGAAUGCUGUGUCCAUAUGUGAAGAUGGAGUGAAGUCCCUACAUCACCUGAUGGGAUGUGAAUGCAAAAUUCUCAGGUGGUGUUAGAAUAGUGUAUAUUCAGUGAUGUAAAAGUGGACCCCAUGCUUUCACAUGAUGGGAUUUUGAAUGUCGUAUCCUCAUUGAAUGGGGAGUUAAAUGCCAUGUGCAGAAAUGAUUGGAGAGAAGGUGAAAUCCUCACUGUCAGAAGUGUGAAUGUCUGUUACACUCCUGAUGGAAGGGUGAAUUCUGUGUACUCGGCUGGUGGAAGCAAAUAUGCCCCUUUCUCACCUGAGGGUAGGGUGGACAUCCUCAUCUCAUGUGUCAUGAUGGUGAAUGCCAGGUCCUUAUGUAGUGAUAGGGUGAAGGUCAUGUCUUCAUAUGAAAGAACAGUGAAUGCCCUGCCCUCAACAGAGGGAAGUGGGAGUGGCUUCUUCACAUAUAAGGAAAGGGUGAGAGCCAUUUUGUCCUGUGAAGGUGGUGCUAAUGCUCUGUACUCACAUAAUGCCAUGUGUUUGUCUGGUGGAAUGAUAAAUGGACUUUACAAUCUUGUAGUAGAGUAAAGAUGCUGUCUUCACUGGAUGGAAGGCUGAGUUACCCCCCUCCCCAUUCCCUACAGAUUGAAAGGCACUCACUUGAACUGUCCUGUGCAAUAGUGAAUGCCAUCUACUCAAAUAAGAGAUGGUUGAAAUCUAUGUCAUCACAGAACAGAAGGGCAAACUCUGUACUGUCAGUUUAUGGAAUUUGAAUACCCAUCCUCUCAAAAAAGGGAAGUGUGAACACACAUCAUCCAGUACAGAGUGAGGAAUUGUCACCCAGUACUCAACUGCAGAAAGCCAAAUUCCUUCUCCUUAUUGACAGUACAGUGAAAGCUGUGCCCUUACAUGAUAGUAAGGCGAAUGCUGUGUUUUCACAUGAAGACAUUGUGAGAUCCUUUCCUGGAGUUGAAGUAAGGGUGAAUGUGGUAUCCUUCAGGUGAUGGUAUGGUAGGAUGAAUGCCCUGUCUUUUACUGAUGGAAGGUUGAAUACUCUAUGUCCAUACAAUGGAACGUGAAGGAAGUAUCGUCAUGUGAAUGUUGUGAAUGCAGGAUCCUCACAUGAUGUUAGGGUGAAGGUUGCAACAUCAUGGAGAUGUGAGCCAUGUGCCCUCACAGAAGUCUGAAUCCAGUAUUCUCAUUAAUUGGAAAAUGAGUACUCCAACUGCAACUCAUGGAAAAUGAAGGUCCUGUCCUCACCUGAUGGAAGGGGGAACUGUGUUCUGUUGAUAGAAGGGGAAAUGUCCUUUCCUCACUCAGGGGAAGAGUGGACACCCUUUUCUUAUGUGUCCAUAGGAUGAAAGCCAUGUCCUUACAUGAUGAAACCCCAUAGGUAGGGGGAAGUCCUGUUCUCAGCAGAGAGAAUGGAUGAUGCCAAGCACUCACCUGAUGUAAGUGUGCAUGUCACUUCCUCUCAAGCUGGUAGGGUUCAAGCCCUGUUCUCACAUGAUAGAAGGGUGAAUGCCACGUCUUCAUUGGGUGGAAUUUUGAAUGCUCUUCCUAAGCCUGAGGAAAGACUCAGUCUCUGUCAUCACAAAUGUCCUAUCCUGUGCUGAUGGAAAAGUAAUGGCGUGGUCACUUCUGUGAGAAUGUGAAUACCUGUUCUUCAACUUAAGGAAGGAUGGAGUCAGUGUUCUUAUUGGACAGAAAGGCAAACAGCAUGGUCUCACCUUACAGAGUUUUAAAUGCCCUCUUCUCACUAAGGGAUGUGUGAACAUACUAUUCAAUAUUGUCUGAAAGAUUUGCACCCAGUACUCACAUGAUGGGAGGCUGACUGUCUUCUCUUCACCUAACAUGGGAUAAAGUGAAUUCCAUUUCCUCGCAUGAAGAUAGGAUGAAGUUUCUGUCCUCCUGAGAUGGAAGGGUAAAUGUGGAGUCCUCAGGUCAUGGUUGGGUGAAUGCCCAGCCCUUUCCUGUUGGAGGGUUGAGUGUUCUCACUUAAUGGAAGGUUGAGGCACGCGUUGUCAUGUGAGUGUCUGGUGAAUGCAGGGUCCUUACAUGAUGGUGGGGUGAAGGCCAUGCUGUCAAGUGAUGGAACAGUGAAUACCUUCUUCUCAGGCAUGGAGAGGUGAACCUCAAGCCUCCACAUUCCAUAAGUUUGAACACAGUAUCCUUACCAAAUGGGCAGGUGCAUGCCCUCUCUACAUCUGAUGGAAGUGUGAGUAUUCUGUCUUCACCUGGUGCAAGCAUGAAUGCAGUUUCCUAACCUGAUGGAGGGUGAAUUCUACAUAGUUUGCUGUUGGAAGGGGAAAUGUCGUCUCCUCAUCUGUGGGGGAGGGUGGACGCCCUCAUCUCAUGUUUCAGCAGAAGGAAACCAUGUUCUCACAUGAUGAGAGGCUGCAAGCUGUGUCUUCACCUGAAGGAAUGCUGUGAAUGGCUGUCAUCUCCUGAGGGAAACGAUGAUGCUAUGUCCAUAUCUGAAAGAAUUUGAUGCCAUUGCAUCUCAUGAUGGUGUGAUUAAUAUGGUGUCUUCAUAUGAUGUAGGGUGAAUGCCCUGAUUCAUCUGGUGGAAUGGUCCAUGUACUUUCAGAUGCUGAGAGGAAGAGUAAGUCUUUGUCCUCAUGAAAUAAAAAGAUAAAUGUCCUAUUCCCUGUGGAUGGAAGAGGGAUCACAUGUACCAACAUGUGAGAAGGUGAGCACCAUCUCCUCACCUAAUGGAAUAGUGAAGUCUGUGUCCUCACUGGACAGAAGUGCAGCCACUGUGUUCUCACCUAAGUCCGAAUGCCCUUCCCUUACCCAUGGAAGAAUGAGCAUGCUGAGUCUAGUCACUGAAGGAUUUCCACUAACAGAAGGCUGAGGUCAUUCUCUGCAAAAAGUUUUAAGGGUGAAGGUCAUGUCCUAAUGUGUGAGGAAGGUGAGUGCCUUGUUCUAAUGUGAAAAUAAGGUGAAGAUCUUGGCUUACAUAAGGGAAGGCUGAACUAGGUGUCCACAAGAGAUGGUAGGGUGAACACCUUGUCCUCUCCUGAAGAACACUGAAUCCCUUUGCUAGCAUCAUGGAAGGAUGAAGGAUGUAUCAUUAUGUGAAAUUCAUGAGAAAACACACUGCAAACAUUUACCUUAGGGUGGAGACCAUGUUGUCAUAUGAUAGAAGAAUGGAUGCCCUGUCCCAAUGCCAAAAGGUGACUCCUGUGCCUGGAAAUGAUAGAAGUUUGAAACUGUGAGCCAUGGAAUGGGAGUGUAACAACUCUGUCCAAAAAUGAUGGAAUAGUGGAAGUCCUGUCAUCACCUGAUGCAAAGUGAAUGCAGUUUUCUCACCUGAUAGAAGGGUGAAUUCUGUGCACUUUCUGAGGGAAGGGAAGUGUCUUCCCCUCAUCUAAUGGAAGGGUGGGCAGCUUCAUUUCAUGUGUCAGUAGGGUGAAAGUUGUGUUCUCACAUGGUGAUACUGUGAAGGCCGUGCCUUUACCUGAAAUAAUGGUGAAUGAUUUUUCUUCAACUGAGGUAAUGGGAAUGUCCUAGUCUCUUCUGUUGAAAGGGUUGAUCUGUUCACAAUGUGGGAUGAACAACUUCUCCCCUAAAGCAAUGGGGAAGACUAUGUCUGUACCAGACAGAAUGGCAGACACCGAAUUCUCGCUUCCUGGAAGGUUAAAUACCCUCCCUUCACCAUGAAAAAUGUCAACAGUCUGUCACCUAGUGUAUGAAGAAUUAUCACCUGUUACUCUGCUGACUGAAGGCCAAAGCCUUGUCCUAACCUCAGGGAAGUUUGAAGGUGAUGUCCUAAAGGUGUGUGUAAGGUGAAUGCAACAUCUUCACUUGAAGAUAGGGUGAAGGUCUAAAUCCUGAUGUGAUGAAAAAGUGUAGGUAGAACCUCAGAUGAUAGUAGGGUGAAUGCUCUGCCUUUUCCUGAUGCAAAGUUGCAAGGUUGAAAGCCUUGUGUUUAAGAGAAAGAAGUAUAAUCAGGUGAGUAUUGGAUGAAUACAAUAGGUGAUAGGAUGAGUGUUGUGUCCUAGUGGGCUAAAGUGGUGAAUGCCUUAUCCUCAGUCAUGGAGAGGUGGCCCCAUGCCCUCACAGGAAAAUAAUGAGAAAACUGUGUCCUCAUCAAAUGGAAGAGUGAUUACACUGAGAGCUCCUGAUGAAUGAGUGAAUGUCCUGCCCUCAAAUGAUAGAAGCAUGAAUAGAGUUUUCUCACAUGAUGAAAAGGUGAACUCUGUGUACUCAGCUGGUGGAGGGGAAUGUCCUUCCUCACCAGGAGGAAGGGUGGGCAGCCUCAUCUGAUGUGUUGGUAGGAUGAAUGCCAAGUCCUCACAUGGUGAUAGGCUGAAGACCAUGUCUCCUUGUGAAGGAAUGGUGAGUGUCCUAACAUGAGCAGAGGAAAGGGAGGACCAUUUUCUCAUUUAUGAGGGAAGGGUGAAAUUCAUUUCAUCUUUUAAUGGUAGUGUUAAUACCCAGUACUCGAAUGCUGGAAGUUUGAAUGCCCUGUGUUUAUCUCAUGGAAGAUAACUGGAUUUUACAAUCUUGAGGUAAGAAUAAAGACUCUGUCUUCACUGGAGAGAGGGCUGAAAGCCAUCCUCUGCAGUUGGAAAGACAAAUGCUUGAACUUCCCUGUAAGACUGAAUGUGAACUGCUCACCAAAUGAUGUUUCAUCUCCAUGACUGACUGCAGAGUCCUCAUAUAAUUGCAUGUUUUCCUCUUGUAAUCUAAGUUUGAUCAACUUUUGCACAUCUGGUGGAAUGGUGACUGAUGUGUUGUAUUGGUAGGACUGGGUGAAUGCAGAGUUCUCACAUCACAAUAGGGUGAAGGCCUUGUUGUCAUGUGAUGGAAAGAUGAAUGCCCUGUCAUCAGCUAUGAUGAGGAGAACCCUAUCACCUCACAUGUAGGAUGUUUGAACUUGGUGUCCUCAUUGGAUGGGGAAGAGAAUGGCUUUUCUGCACAUGAUGGAAGGGGGAAUGUUUUUUCAACUGAGGGAAGCAUGAACACAUUUUCCUCACAUGGUGGAAGAGUGAAUUCUGUUGUAAUCUGAUGGAAUGGGAAUAUUCUUCCUCUCCUGAGGAAGGGUGGGCAGCCUCAUCUGAUGUGUCAUCAGGACAAAUGCUAUGUCCUCACAUGGGGUCAGGGUGAAGAUCAUGCCUUCAUGUGAAGGGAUGGUGAUGUCCUGUGCUCGGCAGAGGAAGGAGAGGUGACUUUCACUUAUGAGGAAUAUGGUGAAUGCUGUUUUGUCUUGUGGAUAUCAAGUUAAUGCCUGGUGCCCACAUGAUUGAAUAUUGAAUGGCCUAUGUUAUUAUGAUGGAAUGGUAAAUGUACUUGGCAAUCCUCAUGGAAGAUUAGAUGCUUUGUCUUCACUGGGGGGAAGGCUGAAUGCCUCAUUCUCUGCUUUUGGAUGGAUGUUAUCUUGACCUCUCCUGUGAGAUGCAGAAUGCUCUCUCUUCACCUAAUGGAAGAAUGCAAUCAGUUUCAUCACUUGACUGAAGGACAAACACUGUAUUACUAUGUAAGAGAAUUUGAAUCUUCAUAAAAGAAAUUAUGAACAAUGUGUCCAUGACAGGCCAUAUGAUUGUCAGCUAGUACUAAAGUAUAGAAGGCCAAAUGUUAUCUUCUCAUCUGGCAGUAAGGUGAAGGCUGUGUUAUAAUAUAAGAAUAUGAUGAAGGGAAUAUCCUCAUGUGAAGAUUUCAUGAAGGUUAUGAAUGAGAGAAUGCAGAAACCUUGUGUGAUGGCAGGCUGAAUGCUCUGUCCUCUCUUUAUCAAAGUUUGAGCACCUCUUGCACAUCUGAUAAAAUGGUGAUGGAUAUGUUGUUAUGCAAGGGCUAUGUGAAUUCAGGGUCCUCACAUCACAAUAAGGUGAAGAUCUUGCCACAUGAUCGAAGGAUGAAUGCCCUGUCCUCAGUUCUGGAGACAUGAACUCUGUCACCUCACAUGUUGGAUGUUUGAAAGUGGUUAUCUAGUUGAAUUGGCAUGUGAAUAGCCAAUCUGUAUGUUAUGGAAGGGAAUGGCCCUGUUCUCCAUGGAGGGAGGUAUGAACACAUUUUCCUCACAUGGUGGAAGGGUGAAAACUCUGUUCUCAGCUGACAGAAAGGAAAUGUCCUCCAUCACCUGAAGGAUGGUUAAGAAGCUUGAUCUGAUGUGUCAGCAGGAGGAAUGACAUGUCCACACAUGGUGACAGGGUGAACAUCAUGUUUUCAUAUGAAGAGAUGGUGCGUGUUCUGUCUUUAGCAGAGGAAAGGGUGGAGGCUUUCUUUACUUAUGAAGGAAAGCUGAAUGCCAUUUUGUCCUGUGAUGUCACUGUUAAUGCCCGGUACUCAAUGAUGGAAGUUGGAGCAACCUGUGAUUAUUUGAUGGAAAGAUAAAGGUAUUUACAAUCUUGAGGGAAGACUAAAGGCUCCAUGUUCACUGGAGGUAAUUUCAGAUGCUCUGUUGUCUGCGGAGAAAAAGACGUUCAUAUGAACUAUUCUGAGAAAUAGUGAAUACCAUCUUCCAACCUAAUGGAAGUGUGAAUUCUGUUUUAUUAUUGAUAAGAAGUAUGAACACUGUGUUCUCACAUUAGAGAAUUUGAAUUACCUCUCCUACAAAAGGAAAUGUAAACACAUUGUCCACUAAAGACUGAUUAAUUCAACCAAUAUUUAACUAAGGAAGGCAAAAUGCCCAGUCCUCAUCAGAAAAAAAGGUUGAAGUCCAUGUUACAAGGUGAGAAUAUGCUGAUGGGAAUGUCUUCAUGUGAAGAUCGCUUGAAGAUCCAUUUCUUUGUGAUGGAAGUGUGAAUGCCGGGUCCUCAUAGAAUGGCAUGGUGCGUGCUCUGUCCACUCUUAGUUGAAGUCUGGCCACCUUCUGCACAUCUAAUGAGGUGGUGAUUGCUGUGUUGUUACGGCUGGGUAAUUUCAAGGUCUUCACAUUGCAGUAGGGUGAAGGUAGGUCUUCAUGAGAUGGAAGGGUAAAUUCCCUGUGCACAUACAUGGAAAGCUGGACCCUCUCACAUCACAUGUUGGACGUUUGAAUGUGGUGUCCUCAUUGAAUGGGAAUGGGAAUGUCUACAUGAAAACUUGAGAGAAGAAUGAAGACUCCAUCUUCAUUGAGGGAAGGUUGAAGGCCCUAUUCUUUGUGGAUGGGUACACACUCACUUGAACUGUGAGGGAAUGAAUGUCAUCUCCUCAAUUAAUAGAAUGGAGAAGUCCAUCUGGAUUGUGGAUAGAAGGACAUUUUCCCUUUAGAGUAUUUGAAUUCCCAAUUCACAAAAAGGUAAGUGUGAACACAAUCUCUAAUAUGUUCUGACAAAUUUUCACACAGAACUUAGGUGAAGAAAGAAAAAUGCCGUCUCUUUAUCUGACAGAAGGAUGAAAGCCAUGUUGCAUAGUGAUAUGGUGAAGGGUAACUUCUUAUGUAAAGAGAGCAUGCAGGUCCUUUUCUCUCAUAUUGAAAGUGUUGCUGCGCACUCCUUAUUGGAUAACAUGAUGAAUGCUGUGUCAUCUAUUAAUCAAAGUCAAAUCACACUGUAAGUAUCUGAUGGAAUGAUGAUUGAUGUGUUAUGAGGUAAGGGCUGUGUGAAUGCAGGGUCCUCAUAUUACAAUAGGGUGAAGGUCCUAUUGUCAUGUGAUGGAAGGAUGAAUGCCCUGUCUUCAGCUAUGACAAGGUGAAUCCUGUCAGACACAUGUUAGAAGUUUGAAUGUGGUGUCCUCAUUGAUGUGAUUGUGAAUGUGAAUGAUUUAGCUUCACCUCCUGAAAGAUGGAAGUUCAUGUCAUUAACUGAGGGACGCUGAACACAUUUUCCUCAUGUGGUGUGUGUGUGUGGGGGGGGGGGUGAACUCUAUUCUCAGCUGAUGGAAGGGAACUGUCCUUCCUCACCUGAGGGAAAGCUGGGCAGCCUCAUCUGAUGUGUCAACAGGAGGAAUGUCAUGUCCUCAUAUGGUGAAAGGGUGAAUAUUUUGUCUUCAUGUGAAGGAAUGGUGAGUGUCCUGUCCUCAGAAGAGAAAAAUAAGGUGAUUAUUUCACUCAUGGAGGAAGGGUGAAAUCCAUUUUUCUUGUAAUGGAAGUUCUUAUAUCCUGUACUCAUUUGAUUGGAAUUUGAAAACACUGUGUUUAUCUGGUGUAAAGAUAAAUGUAUUUGUAAACCUGAUAGAAGAAAAAGACUGUCUUCACUGAAGGGUAUAUGAACACCCUAUUCUUUGGGGAUGGAACGACAUUGAUUUGAACUUUGCUGUGAGAAUAUGAAUGCCGUCUUCUCACUUCAUGGAAUGGUGAAGUGCAUUAGGUAAAUGGAUUGAAGGACAUCCUCCAUUUAGAAAUUUUGAAUGCCAUCUUCACCCAAAGUAAAUGGGAGCACACUUUCCAUUAUAAUCUGAAGAAUGUUCAUCUAGUAUGUAGCUGAAGAAAAUAAAAUACCUUUUUUUCUCCUAACAGAAGUGUGAGGGCUGUGUUAUGCUGAAAGUAAGGUACUCAUGUGGAGAUUGCAAGGAAGUCCUAUUCUCUCAUGAUGGAAGGAUGAAUUCAGAGUCUUUAUGGAAUGGUAUGGUGAAUUGACAUUUGAUCCCCUUCUACGCAUCUGACAUUAUGGUGAUUUAUGUGUGGGUGUUAGAGCUGAGAGAAUUCAGCUUUCUCACAUCGUAAUAGGGUGAGGGCCUUGUUUUCAUGUGAUGGAAGGAUGCAUGCUCGUCAUCAGACAAAAAGAGGUGAACCCUUUCCUGCCAAAUGUUAGAAGUUUGAAUGUUAUGUCUUCAUUGAAUGGAGAGGUGAAAGGCCAGUCUGCACCUGAUGGAAGUUGGAAGGUCUUGUCCUCAACUGAGAGAAGAAUGGCCACAUUUUCCUCACAUGUUUGAAAGGUCAACUCUGUGUUCUCAGGUUAUGGAAAGGGAAUUCCGUCCUCACCUGAGGGAAUGGUGGGCAGCCACAUCUGAUGUGUCAGCAGGAUGAAUGACUUGACCUCCCAUGGUAAUGUGGUGAAGACCAUGUCUUAUUGUGAAAGGACAGUCACUGUCCUGCCCCCAGCAGAAUAAAUGGAAGGUGGGUUCUCCACUAGAGGGAAGGGAGAAUGCCAUUUUUUGUUGUGAUGGUAGUGUUAAUGUUCUGUCAUCACAUGAUCAAAGUUUGAAUGAACUUUGUUUAUAUGAUGGGAAGAUGCAUGUACUUUGUAAUUCGGAAGGAAACGUUAAGGCUCUAUCAUCACUGGAUGGAAGGCUGAAUGUCCUAUUCUCUGCAAAGGGAAAGACUUUGUUGUGAAAUCUUCUGAGAAUUUGCUCUUCACCUAACCAAGUGAUAACUCUAUUUCACCACUGCCAUGAGAGGCAAACAGCAUAUUCUCACAUUUGAGAAUAUGAAUGCCCUCUCCUCGUAACCGGAAUUGUGAAACAAAAUGUUGACUUCAGACUGAAGAAUUGUGAGCCAGUACUUACCUAAAUAGGGCAAAAUCUCUGGUAGUCAUCUGAGCAAAAGAUGAUUGACAUCUUAUAAUAUGAAAAUAUGGUUAAGAGAAUGUCUUCAUGUGAAGAUAGCAAGAACAGCCUAUUCUCUCGUGAUGGAAGGGUGAAUACAGAUUCCUCAUGUAAUGGCAUGGUGAAUGCUGUGUUCUUUUGUAGUUGAAGUUUGACUACCUUCUGCACAUCUGAUUGAAAGGUGAUUGAUGUGUUGUUAUGUUACAGCUGGAUGAAUUCAGGGUCCUCAUAUCACAGUAGGGUGAAGGCCUUGUUGUCAUGUGAUAGAAAGAUGAAUGCCCUGUCCUCAGCCAUGAAGAGGUGAACUCUGUCACCUCACAUGUUGGUUGUUUGAUUGUGGUGUCCUCACUGAAAGGAAAAUGAAUGGCUAGUGUUCACUUGGUGGUACUGGGAAGAUCCUCAUUCAAUGCUGGAAACAUGACUACAUUUUGUUCACAUGUUGGAAUGGCAAACUCUGUUUUCAGCUGAUAGAAGAGCAAUGUCUUUCCUGACCUGAUGGAUGGUUGGGCAGCCUCAUCUGAAGUGUGAGCAGGAUGAAUUUCAUAUCCUCACAUAGUGACCCAAUGAAGAACAUGUCUUCAUAGGAAGGGAUGGUGAGUUUCUUUUUCCCCAUAGAAGAAAUGGAGGAUUAUUUGUUCACUGCUGAGGGAUACAGCAAUGCCAUUUUGUCUUAUGGAAAUGUUAACAUCCUGUACUCAUAUGUUUGAAUUUUGAAUGACCUGUGUUUAUCUGGUAGAAGGAUAAAUGUAUGUACAAUCUUGAGGGAAGAAUAAUGAGUCUGUUUUUACUGUAGGGAAGGUUAAAGCCCUAUUUUCUGCAGACUGGAAGACAUUCACUUGAAGUCCCCUGUGAGAAAAGGAGUGUCAUGUUGUCACUCAAGGGAAUGGUGAAGCCUGUUUUAUCACUGAUUGAAGGACAUUCUUCCUUUAGAAAAUUUGAAUUCCCUCUCGACACAAAGGUAAAUGUGAACACCAUGCCCACUAAGUAUGAAGAAAUAUGACCUAGAGCUUAGCUAAAAGCCAAAUGCCUUCUCUUCUGACAGAGGAGUGAAUGCCAUGUUGUGAUGUGAGAAUAUGGUGAAGGGAAAUAUCCUCAUGUGAAGAUAGCAAGAAGGUCCUGUUCUCUCAAGAAGGAAGAGUUAAAGCAGAUUUCUCAAGUGAUGGCAUGAUGAACACUUUGUCCUCUGCAUAUCAAAGUUAGAGCAUACUGUACACAUCUGACAUAAUGGUGAUUGUGUGCUGUCAUGUAAGGUCUGGGUGACUGCAGGGUCCUCACAUCACAAUAGGGUGAAGGUGUUGUUAUGUGAUGGAAGGAUAAAAAUCCUGUCCUUACGAUGGAUGCUCAGAUGUGGUGCCCUCAUUGAUGGGAAAGUGAAUGGUGAGCCUGCACCUGUCCUCUGCUGGGGGAUGGAAGAACACAUUAUUCUCAUAUGUGUAGUAGAUUCUGUCAUCCCUGGCAGGAAGGCUGGAUACCCUGUUCUCUGUGGAGAGAGGCAUUCUCAUGACCUAUCUUGAGAGAUAGUGAAUGUCAUUCCCUACCCUCAUGGAAUGGUGAAGUCUGUUUCAUCACUGGCAAUAAGGUCAACUCUGCAUCAUCAUGUGAGAGAACUUGAAUGUCUUGUGCUCACAAAGGCAAGUGCAAGCCCAGUGUCCACUACAGACUGAAGAAUUAUCAAGCAGUAAUUACUUAAAGAAAGCAAAAUACUGACUCCUCGUUAGUCAGAAAUAUAAAGGCCAUUUUAUUUAUUUUUUAUUUUAUUUUUAUUUAUUUAUUUAUUUUUUGACAGGCAGAGUAGACAGUGAGAGAGAGAGACAGAGAGAAAGGUCUUCCUUUGCCGUUGGUUCACCCUCCAAUGGCCGCCGCUGCUGGCGCGCUGCGGCCGGCGCACCACGCUGAUCCGAUGACAGGAGCCAGGUGCUUAUCCUGGUCUCCCAUGGGGUGCAGGGCCCAAGCACUUGGGCCAUCCUCCACUGCACUCUCUGGCCACAGCAGAGAGCUGGCCUGGAAGAGGGGUAACCGGGACAGAAUCUGGUGCCCCAACCGGGACUAGAACCCGGUGUGCCGGCGCCAAGGCGGAGGAUUAGCCCAGUGAGCCACAGCGCCAGCCUAAAGGCCAUUUUAUCAUGUGAGAAUAUGGUGACAGGAGUAUCCUCUUGUGAAGAUGGCCUUAAAAUUCCCGUUUCCUCAUGAUGGAAGGGUGAAUGCAGAGUCCUCAUGUAAUGACAUGAUGAAUCUUCUGUUCUCUCCUAAUUGAAGUUUGAACACUCUGUGCACUGCUGAGGGGACAGUGAUUGAUGUGUUGUCUUUUGAGGGCUGGGUGAAUGCAGGUUCCUCACAUCACAGUAAGGUGAAGGUCCUGUUAUAAUGUGAUGGAAGGAUGAAUGCCCUGUCCUCAGCCAUGUUGAGAAGGACCCUGUCACCUCACCUGGAGGAAGUCUGAACAUGGUAUCCUCAAUGAAUGGGAAGGUGAAUGGUCUCUUGGGACCUGAUGGAAGAGGGAAGGUCCUUUCUUCAAUUGAAGGAAGCAUGAACACAUGUUCCUCACAUGUUGAAAGGGUAGACUGUUCUCAGCUGAUGAAUGGGGAAUGUCCUUCCUACCUUAAGAGAAGAGUGGGAAGCCUCAACUGUUGUGUGACAGGAUGAAUGUCUUGUCCUCUCAUGGUGACAAGGAGAAGAUCAUGUCUUCAUGUGCUGGCAUGGUCAGUGUCCUGUACUCUGCAGAUGAGAGGUAGCAUGGUUUCCUGAGUUAUGAGGUUAGGGUGUAUGCUGUUUUGUCCUGUGAUGACAGUGUUAAUGCCCUUUCAUCACAUGAUGGACAUUUGAAUGCCAUGUGUUUAUUUGGUGGAACACUAGAUGUGCUUUACAAUCCCAAGGAAAGAGUAAAUGCUCUGUCCUUGUAAGGCUGAAUGUCCUAUUCUUUGUAGAUUAAAGGACAUUCAUUGGAAUUCUCCUUUGAGAUAGUAAAUGCCUUCUCCUCACUAAUUAAGACUGAUGCCUUUUAUCACUGGACAGUAGGGCAACCAUGGCAUUCUCAUUUUAGAGAAUUUGAAUGCCUUCACCAUCCUGAGGGAAGCAUUAAUGUCCACUUGUCCACUUGUGACUGAAAAUUAUCACCCAGUAAUCACCUGAAGAAGGCCAUGUGCCUUCUCCUUCUUUGAGUUCAGGGUGAAGGGUGAAGGUCAUAUUACAGUGUGAGAAUAUGGUGAAGGGAAUGUCUUCAUAUGAAGAUACAGUUCUUAUUCUCAUGUGAUGGAAGGGUGGAUGGAGUGUCUGCAGGUAAUUGUUAUAGGUGAGUAUUCUUUUAUCCUGCUGGAAGUUUGAGCAGCCUCUGCCCUUGUGAUUGAAGGAUGAUUGAUAUGUGUCAUGUUAUGUCUGGGUGAAUGCAGGAUCCUCAUAUCACAAUAGGGUGAAGGUCUUGUUGUCAUAUGAUGGAGGGAUGAGUGACUUGUCCUCAGCCAUGGAGAGGUGAACUCUGUCACCUGAAAUGUUGGAAGUUUGAAUGUGGUGUCACCAUUGAAUAGGAAUGUGAAUGCCUUUUCUAUACCUGAGGAAUGAGGGAAUGUCCUGUAUUCAACUGAUGGAUGCAUGAACACCUUUUUUUUUAAUAUUUUAUUUACUUGAAAGACAGAGAGGUAGAGCUACAGUGAGAGAGCAAGAGCUAGAGUCAGAGUGAGAGCAAGAGCAAGAGAGAGAGAGAUGUCUUCGAUCUGCUGGUUCACUCCCCAAAUGACCACAAUGGCCAGAGCUGAGCUGAUCCGAAGCCAGGAGUCAGGAGCUUCUUCUGGGUCUCCCACAUGGGUGCAGGGGCCAAAGGACUUCGUCCAUUUUCUACUCUUUCCCGGGCCAUAACAGAGAGCUGGAUCACAUGAGGAGUGGCUGGGACUCGAGCCAAUGCCCAUAUGAGAUGCCUGCACCAUAGACCAGACUUUAACUCUCUGAGCCACAGUGCCAGGACUGUGUGAACACCUUUUCCUCACAGAGCUGAAGGGUGAACUCCCUGUUCUCAGCUGGUGGAAGGGGAAUGGCCUUCUGAGGGAAGAUGGACACAUCAUUUUUGGUGUCAGUAGAGUCAAAGCCAUGUCUUCACAUGGAAAUAGGUGAAGAUCAGGUUUUCACAUGAUGAAUGUUGGCUGCCCCAUCCUCUACAUGGGGAAAGGAGGAUGGCUUCUUUACCUAUGAGGGAAGAGUAACUGCCAUUUUAUCUCGUGAUUGUGAAAUGAAUGCCUAGUCCUCACAUGAUGAAUGUGUGAAUGCCCUGUUUAACUGUUGGGGUGAUAGAUGUAUUUUACAAUUCUGAGGGAGGAGUAAAGGCUUUGUCUUUACUGGACGGAAGGCUGAGUGUCCUAUUCACCAUUCAUGGAAGUUCACUGAUUUGAACUCUUCUGUGAGAUACAAAAUGCCUUCUCAUCACCUAAUAGAAGGGUGACAUCUGAGUCUUGUCAGGACAGAAGGGCAAACAUGUUCUGUUCCUAUAGAAUUUCAAUACCCUUUCCCUACGAUGAAAGUGGGAACAAAAUGUUCACUACUGACUGAAGAAUUAUCACUCAGCACCCAAUUGAAAAAGCCACAUAUUUUCAGUUCAUCUGAGAGUUGGUCCAUUUUUUUCUUUUCCAAUUAAAAUUUAUUUUAAAAAUGUAUAUAUUAUGCAAGUUUCCUGUAUUUCACAAUACAGUUUUAGAGAAGGCAAUGUUUUAAUGAAAGAACGGGUGCAUGGUGUGUCCUCACAUGAAAAUAGCAAGAAAGUCUUCUAAGCAGGAUCUUUAGUAAUGUAAGUGAAUGCUGUGUCCUUUCCAAGUAAAAGACUAUGCACUAUGUCCAAAUCCCAUGGAAGUGUGAUUGAUGUGUUGUCAUGUAUGUUCUGGGAGAGUGCAGGGUCCUCACAUCACAAUAGGGUGAAGGUCGUGUGAUGGAUCGGUGGAUGCUCUGUCCCCCAUAUCUAGAGGUGAAGGCUGUCAUCUCACAUAUCUGAACUUUGAAUUUGGUGUCCUCAUGGGAUGGCCUGUCUUCACCUGAUGGAAGAGGAAGGUCCUGCCCUCAAACUGAGGUAAGCAUGAACACAUUUUCCUGACAUGGUGGAAGGGUGAGUUCUGUGUUCCCAGGUCAUGGUAGGCAAUGUCCUUGCUACAAGAGGGAAGUAUGGACACCUUGAUGUUUCCUGUCAGUAGACUGAAAGCCAUGUCCUCACAUGGUGAGAGGUGAAGGUCAGGUGUUCACAUGAAAGAAUGGUGAAUUCCCAGUCCUUGACUGAGGAAAGGGAUAGUUUCUUGUAAUGUGGGAAGGAUGAGUGCCAUGUCUUUACCUGAUGGAAGUGGUAAUGCCAUUUCUUCUUGUGAUAGUGUUGUUAACACUGUCAUCACACAAUGGAAUUUUGAAUGCCAUGUCUCCAUUUAGUGGAAUGGGAAAUGCUGUUUUUCACAUUUAUGGGAAAGUAAAUGUGUUUUCUUCAUCUGAAGGAAGGCUGAGUGCCUUGUUCCCUGAUGAUGGAAGGAUAAUCACAUGAACACUCCUAUGGGAUAGCGAACACCAUCAUUUCUCCUAAUGGAAAGAUGAAGAAAGUUUGUCAUAUGAGUGGUGGGGAAGUGCAGGGUUCUCAUGAUAGAGUGAAGUACAUGUGGGCCUGUUAUGGAGGUAUUAACAAGCUGUCAUGGGCAUACAGAGGGGAACCCUGCACCCUGGCAUGAUGAAAGUUUUAAUGCUCUGUCCUAAUUAUGACAUCCUGAAGGUGAAUGACCUGGUAGAAGAAUGAAGAUCUGAUUGUCAACAGGAACAUGAAUGCAGUUUCUACAGCUCAUGGGAGAGUGAACUCUGGACUCAGCUGAUGGAAGGGAGAAGUCUGACCUCGCUGGAGAGAAGAGCAAAUGCCAUGUUCCAAGCUUACAGAAUUUGAAUUCCUUCUCAUGGAGGGAUGUGGGAGCAUCCUGUCCUCUACCGAAUGAAAGAUUGUCAUCAGUGCUCACUGGAAGGUGAACAAAGCAAAACCUAUGUCCUCACCUGGCAGAAGAGUGAAUGUGCUCUCCUGAUCUGACUAAAGGCAGAUUGCUUUGUCCACAUCUGAUGGAAUUGUGGAUGCCAUAUGUUCACGUGAAGGGUGAACUCCACGUCCUCAGGUGACAGAAGGUGAACAACAUGACAUGUGAUGGAAAGGUCGGCUUCAGGUUCUGAAAAAAGGAAAAUCACAAGAAUUGCUGACCAAGUCUCUAGGCCUGUUACAAGAUCCCUGGGGCUCAGGCCUCACCCAACUGCUCAGAGGCACAAUACGCUGUCAAGAGGACAGGUGGCCUUCCCUGUUACUCCAACCUUCAGGAGUUACCCUGGGGCUCAGCUCCUGGACCCUCGUGAUGGAAACUGCUGAAUCCAAAAUAUUUGGGGUCACAUCAGGGCAGGAGGAAGGCAGUGACAAAGAAGGCUCCCUAGAGUCCUGGCCCUGGCCUCUCUCUGUGCAACUCAAAGAAAGACUGUGUCCAUCCUGUGGCUCACAGAUCCACAUCAGCUCAGGGGAUAUUCCAGCUCUAUCACAAGUUCUCUUCUGAAGCUCACAGAACCCUGCAGGCUGGAAACUUCUGUUCCCCAGAGAGUAGCAUCCAGUAGGGAUGUAUCCUCUUCCAUGUCUGUCCCAGGGCCCCUGCAACUUGGCCCCAAAAUGUGUAGUGUCCUCCCGAAGACAGGGCCAAAGUCACAUCACCUGGACUAUGGCCCCUGCAGUCUAAGCCAUUCUGGUACAGCGACAGGCAGAGGUGCCAGGCACGUGUUGGGAGAACUUCCCAAGUCUCCCCACUUCCUAGUAGCCUGUGGGCCUCCUCCUCCUCCAUGGUGCAGGUUGUCAUGUUUGCUCCUGGAGCCUGGCAUCCCAUCCACAGCCCAGGCAGGUCAGCAGCAUGAUCCCCUGCCUCCAAGCUGGGUGGAGCUCACAGAACACAUCUCAGGAGCACAGUUCCCUGACCCUGAUGGGAUCAACCCAGCCUCAUCUGUUGCUGGAAGACUGUGUCACCUUGAGUCCCCCGCAAGGGUGUGAGCGCCAGGCCACGGAAUGUCUUGUAGUCCUGGCCUGGCCUGUGCAUGAAUUCAGUACCACCUGUUCCUGUUGGAGCAGAUUCUGGCUCCCUGGGCUGGCAUGUGCAUGAAAAUACCAGCUCAUUGCCUGGGCAGCCUGUGAGAACAUGGAGCAGCAAGACACUUCACUUUGGCUGCCUCAGAGCCACACAGGGUACUUCUAGCCUCCUUCUCGCCUUGCUAGUUAAAGAACAAUAAAGUGUUUGCUUUAAUAUGUUUUGGUCCAUUCUUGGGGCACACAGAGCCUGAGGUUUGUUCCAUUUUUGGGGCACACAGAGCCUGAGGAACAGUGGUUCCUGAUGGUUCUCCUUUGGGGCGACUGGCACUGCAUCUUCCACCUUCAGUCAGAGGUCCAGGUCCCAAAGAUUUAAUACCUUUGGGGUUACCAACCACACAGGGGCCAGGGCUGUGUUGAGUGGUAACAAAGACUGAGUGCAUGGGCAUUGGGACAGUUCAUGAGAUUCUGUGGAACACACAUGUUAGGGUCUUGAGUGACCACUUUGCACCCUCUAGGCUAGCUAGCUUCAGUGUCGAUUCCUCUGUGGUUCUGUCUCUCACUGUGACUCUCAGAAUCCAGCACUUCUUCUUCUUCUUCUUUUUUUUAAUAAGAUGCUUCCAGGCAUGAUGCCAUAAACAAGAGUGUCAAUUUGUUAAGUCAACAACAGGAGUCACUGUGCACUUACUCCUCAUGUAGGAUCUCUGUCCUUAAUGUGGUGUUCAAUGUGAAUUAAUGCUAUAACUAGUACUCAAACAGUAUUUUACACUCUAUGUUUCAGUGUGGGUGCAAACUGUUGAAAUCUUUACUUAAUAUAUACUAAAUUGAUCUCCUGUAUAAAGAGAAUUGAAAAUGAAUCUUGAUGUGAAUGGAA